GAUGAACGCUGGCGGCGUGCCUAAUACAUGCAAGUCGAGCGAACGGACGAGAAGCUUGCUUCUCUGAUGUUAGCGGCGGACGGGUGAGUAACACGUGGAUAACCUACCUAUAAGACUGGGAUAACUUCGGGAAACCGGAGCUAAUACCGGAUAAUAUUUUGAACCGCAUGGUUCAAAAGUGAAAGACGGUCUUGCUGUCACUUAUAGAUGGAUCCGCGCUGCAUUAGCUAGUUGGUAAGGUAACGGCUUACCAAGGCAACGAUGCAUAGCCGACCUGAGAGGGUGAUCGGCCACACUAGAACUGAGACACGGUCCAGACUCCUACGGGAGGCAGCAGUAGGGAAUCUUCCGCAAUGGGCGAAAGCCUAACGGAACAACGCCGCGUGAGUGAUGAAGGUCUUCGGAUCGUAAAACUCUGUUACUAGGGAAGAACAUAUGUGUAAGUAACUGUGCACAUCUUGACGGUACCUAAUCAGAAAGCCACGGCUAACUACGUG
This 497-nucleotide ribosomal RNA is filed under the name uncultured bacterium. RNAcentral's name for it is "partial 16S ribosomal RNA". It matches the Rfam family "Bacterial small subunit ribosomal RNA", at positions 28 to 507 of the family's 1533-position model. The record is from RNAcentral.